Molecule: long non-coding RNA, 389 nt
Organism: Rhineura floridana
Lineage: Eukaryota; Metazoa; Chordata; Lepidosauria; Squamata; Rhineuridae
Exons: 4
Source: RefSeq, a predicted model, not a curated record
UGUCUUCAUUGGUAUUCCGGGUAAAGAAAGUAUUAGGCCCAGAGAGGAGGAAGCGGGAGCGUGCAGAGGGCAAAGAGGUUGCUGGAGACAUGGGGAUUCUGCUGAGAGCCUGCUCCUAAAAAAGGACCCAGAUUCAAAUCCCUCCUCAGGAGUGAAAUUCAGGUGGUGUCCUGGGCCCAGUGACAGUGUCGUUGUGAAGACAAAAGGAGGGGGACAAAUCAUGGCCCUUGAGAGCUGCUUCCUACGAAACGUGCAUCGUGGUGAAAGCUGUGGGAGUCCCAGAGCUGGCCUAGUUUACUCCUCCCUCUCAGGCAGCGCCAUGGCCUCAGAGGCACCGUCCGGAUUGUCUCUUUUGUGGGAUAGAGUGGAAAGAGCAGCUGGGCAGCCCA